GUGGACCGGCAUGUUUAAGCUCCACCCUCUGUGAAAUUCUAGGGUUAAUCAUUGAUGCCUUUGGAGAUCUGAGGGAUCAGCAGGAACAAGUGAAAGAAGACAUGGAGACCAAAUGUUUUAUCUGUGGAAUAGGUAAUGACUACUUUGACACCGUGCCACACGGCUUUGAAACGCACACUCUACAGGAGCACAACUUAGCCAACUACCUAUUCUUUCUGAUGUAUCUCAUCAACAAAGAUGAAACAGAGCACACAGGCCAGGAGUCUUACGUAUGGAAAAUGUACCAGGAACGUUGUUGGGAGUUUU
Oreochromis niloticus (Nile tilapia) is the source of this 306-nucleotide long non-coding RNA. RefSeq lists it as uncharacterized. NCBI's taxonomy places the organism in Eukaryota, Metazoa, Chordata, Actinopteri, Cichliformes, Cichlidae. The record is from RefSeq and is a predicted model, not a curated record. The transcript is spliced from 4 exons.